This 342-nucleotide ribosomal RNA is filed under the name Pratylenchus penetrans. RNAcentral's name for it is "partial large subunit ribosomal RNA". It matches the Rfam family "Eukaryotic large subunit ribosomal RNA", at positions 645 to 961 of the family's 3401-position model. The record is from RNAcentral. Lineage: Eukaryota; Metazoa; Nematoda; Chromadorea; Rhabditida; Pratylenchidae.
UGACCCGUCUUGAAACACGGACCAAGGAGUUUAUCGUGUGCGCAAGUCAUUGGGUGUUGAAAACUCAAAGGCGCAAUGAAAGUAAAGAAUCCGCAAGGAUACGACGUGUGAUCUGAGCAAUCACGAUUGCCUGGAGCAACAUGGCCCCAUUCUGGUCGCUUGCGACGGGGUGGAGGAAGAGCGUACGCGGUGAGACCCGAAAGAUGGUGAACUAUUCCUGAGCAGGAUGAAGCCAGAGGAAACUCUGGUGGAAGUCCGAAGCGAUUCUGACGUGCAAAUCGAUCGUCUGACUUGGGUAUAGGGGCGAAAGACUAAUCGAACCAUCUAGUAGCUGGUUCCUUC